Molecule: long non-coding RNA, 4832 nt
Filed under: Homo sapiens (human)
Lineage: Eukaryota; Metazoa; Chordata; Mammalia; Primates; Hominidae
Description: HSALNT0353993
Source: RNAcentral
GUGCUGGCUCAUACCUGCAAUCCCAGCACUUUGGGAGGCUGAGGCAGGCAGAUCACUUGAGGUCAGGAGUUCAAGACCAGCCUGGCCAACAUGGUGAAACCUUGUCUGUACUAAAAAUACACACACACACACACGAAAUAGCCAGGCAUGGUGGUGGGCAACUUUAAUCCCAGCUACUUGUGAGGCUGAGGCAGGAGAAUCAUUUGAACCCGGGAGACAGAGGUUGCAAUGAGCCGAGAUCGUGCCAUUGCACUCCAGCCUGGGCAACAGAGGUAGACUCUGUCUCAAAAAAAAAAAAAAAAAGAAAGAAAGAAAGAAAUUGGGGAAGGAGCAGGAUUAGAGGCAGGAAGACCAUUUAGAAUAGGCAGCAAUCUAUUCUAGAGGCAGCAGUCACAAUGAGGAAUGAAGAGGGCCUGAGCUAGAGAAGUGGACAGGCUGGCAAGAGGUUAAUAGGGUCUGGGGUUAGGGAGAGAGGAAAUGCAAGGCAGGCACUCAGAUCUGGCACCUAGGACAGGAAAUGGAGGAGGGAGAGGAGCAGGCUGGGAACAGGACAAGAGAAAAGAAUGAGUCUCAGCAUCUAGGCUUUGACUGAAGUUACAGGUUUCAUCUUUUUUUUUUUUUUUUUGACAGGGUCUCACCAUGUCGUCCAGGCUGCAGUGCAGUGGCAUCUGGCUCACAAGCAGCCUUUACCUCCAGGGUUAGAGACCGGGGUCUCACUGUGUCAUACAGGCUUGUCUGGAACUCCUGGGAUCAAGCGAACCUCCCACCUCUGCCUCCCAAAGUGUUGCGAUUAAAGGCGUGAGCCACCGUACCCAGACUCAUCCACUUUGUUAUUCAACAGAUAGUGAAUCCUCCUCUGUGCAAGUCCUGGAAUUAUGGUUUCAGGAUUCAUUGGCACAACAGUUGGCAACUGAAAUUAUGGGUAUAGACAGGUCAUCUAGGAAAAAAGUGUGUAAAAUGAGAAGAAAAGAAGGCCCAGAACAGAUCGCUAAGGUACGAUUUGUUGUUGUUGUUUGAGACAGUCUUUUUUUUUUUUUUUUUUUUUUUUUUUGAGACAGAGUCUCUCCGUCGCCCAGGCUGGAGUGCAGUGGCGCGAUCUCCACUCACUGCAGGCUCCGCCCCCUGGAGUUCACGCCAUUUCCUGCCUCAGCCUCCCGAGUAGCUGGGACUACAGGCGCCCGCCACCUCACCCGGCUAAUUUUUUGUAUUUUUAGUAGAGACGGGGUUUCACCGUGUUAGCCAGGAUGGUCUCGAUCUCCUGACCUCGUGAUCCGCCCACCUCGGCCUCCCAAAGUGCUGGGAUUACAGGCAUGAGCCACCGUGCCCGGCUGAGACAGUCUUGCUUUGUCAGCCAGGCUGGAGUGCAGUGGUGCAAUCUCGGCUCACUGCAACCUCUGCCUCCCAGUUUCAAGCAGUUGUCCUGCCUCAGCCUCCCGAGUAGCUGGGACUACAGGCAUGUGCCACCACGCCUGGUUAAUUUUUGUAUUUUCAGUAGAAACGAUAUUUCACCAUGUUGGUCAGGCUGGUCUCAAACCCCUGACUUCAGGUGAUCUGCCCCCUUUGGCCUCCCAAAGUGCUGGGAUUACAAGUGUGAGCCACCGUACCCAGCCUGUUGUUUGUUUUUUAAGGGAGGACAGAAGAAGAGGAACCAGCCAGGCAACAAGACACGAAGGAGCCAGAGCAGUUGGAAGAAACCAGGAGAGUGAUGUCCCUAAAGCCAGUUUUUUGUUUGUUUUUGAGACAGAGUUUUGCUUUUGUUGCCCAGGCUGGAGUGCAAUGGCGUGAUCUCGGCUCACUGCAACCUCCGCCUCCUGGGUUCAAGCAAUUCUCCUGCCUCAGCCUCCCAAGUAGCUGGGAUUAUAGGCACCUGCCAUCACGCCCAGCUAAUUUUGUUUGUCUGUUUGUUUGUUUUUGAGACAGAGUCUCACUCUGUCAUCCAGGCUGGAGUGCAGAGACGCAAUCUCAGCUCACUGCAAGCUCCGCCUCCCGGGUUCACGCCAUUCUCCUGCCUCAGCCUCCCGAGUAGCUGGGACUACAGGUGCCCACCACCAAGCCCAGCUAAUUUUUGUAUUUUUAGUAGAGACGGGGUUUCACCGUGUUAGCCAGGAUGGUCUCGAUCUUCUGAUCUCGUAAUCUGCCCACCUCGGCCUCCCAAAGUGCUGGGAUUACAGGCGUGAGCCACUGCGCCCGGCCUGUUUGUUUUUUGAGAUGGAGUUUUGCUCUUGUUGCCCAGGCUGGAGUGCAAUGGUGCUAUCUCAGCUCACUGCAAUCUCUGCCUCCCGGGUUCAAGAGAUUCUCCUGCCUCAGCCUCCUGAGUAGCUGGGAUUACAGGUGCCCACCACCAUGCCUGGCUAAUUUUUGUAUUUUUAGUAGAGACGGGGUUUCACAAUGUUGGUCAGGCUGGUCCUGAACUCCUAACCUCAGGUGAUCCGCCCACCUUGGCAUCCCACAGUGCUGGGAUUACAGGCAUGAGCCACCGUGCCCAGCCCCUAAAGCCAGUUCAGAUGACCCUGAAGACAGGGUCCUCAGAAGCCUAGGGUGUCACAUGCAUCCAUGCUUCCAAGUCCACCAGUAAGAUAAGGUCUGAGGUGCAUCAUUGCUAAUCUGUCAUAGAGCAAUUCAAGGGUUCGGGUUGGGGUUGAGGCCAGACUAAGGAGAGCUGGGCAGUGGGAGGGAUAAGUGGAGAUAAUAAGUGUCCUUCAAGAGGAUUGGUUGUGAAGAGGAGAGAGAAGGUGAGAGGUGAAGAAAGGACAAGGGGUGUAAGGAGCUUCCCCAGCAAGCUGCAAGACCUGACCAUGAUUCAAUGCUCAUGCAAAAUGCCAGCUGAAAAGGGGAGGUUGAAUACACAGGAAGGGAGAUAGACCAUUAGGCAGGUUUUCUCCAAAAGCCUCAUGAUGCAUAACUAAGAUUGGGGUUUGAGAAUUGGAGGAUAGAGAAUUUAAGUUUGAUAUAAAGAAAAAAUAAGGAACAAAAGAACAGACCUGUGAAUCAGUGGAAAGGUCUUUGCAGACAAAGAUGGGACUGUUGGUACUUGUGAAUACUGCAGAAAGAGAUCCUAGCUCCAUAUACAGGUUGGACAAAAUGAGGGCUGAAGUGCCUUUCAAAGAUUUAAAUUCUUGAUCCCAUCCCACAUUUUAUUUUAUGGCGAGGGGGUGCACAAUUUACAAAUGAACUACAUAUUUCUGAUUGAGAAUGGCUAAUAAAAUUCUCAUUAUUUCAUUCAAGGUCCCUAAAUACCCACUGUGUUCCAAGCACUGGGUUGGGACACAGCAGAUCUGAGUUCCAUACACUAAGCCUUUUCCACUUAAUGUCAGUUAUUUAAAUGGAUCAGGUCAAGUGCGAUAGUGCGCACCUGUAAUCUUAGCUACUCAAGAGGCUGAGGUGGGAGGAUGGCUUGAGGCCAGGAAUUGGAGGCUGCAGUGUGCUAUAAUCACACCUGUGAAUAGCCACUGCACUCCAGCCUAGGCAAUGUGGCAAGAUCCCAUCUCUAAAAAUAAAAAUAAACAAUUUUAAAAGGGCUGGGCAUAGUGGCUCACAUCUGUAAUUCCAGCACUUUGAGAGGCCAAGGCCGGAGGAUUUUUUGAGGCCAGGAGUUUGAGAACAGCCUGGGCCACAAAGUAAGAUCCCCAUCUCUACAAAAAAAAUUUAAAAAUUAGCUGGGCAUGGUAGCAUGUACCUGUAGUCCAGUUUCUUGGGUGGCUGAGGCAGAAGGAUCCCUUGAACCCAGGAGAUCAAGGUUACAGUGAACUGUGAUCACACCUCUGUACUCCAGCCUGGAGUACACUGGGCAACAGAGUGAGACCCUGUCUCUUAAAAAAAAUAAAAAAUAAAAAAUGGGAUCAAUUUCUGUAUAAGUCAUUGUUUGCACUCACCUUGUUGGUAAACUGGGAGCAGCUGCGGCUGGAGGACAGUUGAGGCAUGUUAUCUUGGGAUUGCUGAAUGCUGCAGUUCACAGUGGGGAGGAUCUCCACUUCAUUCCUUCUUUACCAUCUCAAGAGCUCCUGAGAAAGCUGGAGGUUUGGCCGGGUAUGGUGGCUCAUGCCUGUAACCCCAGCAUUUUUGGAGGCUGAGGCGGGCAGAUCACUUGAGGCCAGGAGUUCAGGACCAGCCUGGCCAACAUGGUGAAACCCUGUCUCUACUAAAAAUACAAAAAUUAUCUAGGCAUGGUGGUGCGCACCUGUAGUCCCAGCUAUGUGGGAGGUUGAGGCAUGAGAAUCUCUUGAACCAGGAGGUGGAGGCUGCAGUGAGCCAAGAUUGUGCCACUGCACUCCAGCCUGAUCGAGAGAGUGAGACUCCAUCUCCAAACAAAAAAAAAAAAAAAAAAAAAAAAAAAAGGAAAAAGAAGAAAGGUGGAGGUUUUUGGAGCAUUCUCAGAGUGCAGUAUUUGUUUCUAAGUCUCAGCAGGGGAUGUAGAGAUGGGGCAGAGGCAGGUGGUUCUUCCAUUCCACCCCAAACCUCACUGGACUCAGACUCUCAGGGAUACACUAUAAUGACUGCUAACUUUGGUAGCACCUGCACCUAGUGUAGCUUCCUAAUGCUUCCGUGAAUCCCAGGGAGAACACUGUAAAAUGAUCAUAUGAUCUUUUAUUUCUCACUUAAUUCAUUCUGUGUCAUUCCAUUGGUUUGUGAAUUGUGUCAAUAGAUAGAAAGUUUGGACUGUGGGUGUCUGGAAAUAUAUCCACCCCUUCUACAUUAAUUCUUAUGAAAAAAUAUUUUAUUCACCUUUUUUACUGUAAGAUGAAUUUCCCAGUAAUGUAACCUUGAUGCAAAUAAAUGCUCUAACCGUUGUGCCAAAAGUUGCAAUUAAUAAACCCAAUGUCUUGUUCUUCUUC